RNAcentral lists this transfer RNA (77 nucleotides) under Candidatus Peribacteria bacterium. Its description in RNAcentral is "tRNA-Gly". It matches the Rfam family "tRNA". From Rfam's summary of the family: Transfer RNA (tRNA) molecules are approximately 80 nucleotides in length. Lineage: Bacteria; Candidatus Peregrinibacteriota; Candidatus Peribacteria. The record is from RNAcentral.
GCGGAAUUAGCUCAGCUGGCUAGAGCGCGACCUUGCCAAGGUCGAGGUCGCGGGUUCGAAUCCCGUAUUCCGCUCCA